CCCAGAGCCUGAAUCAGUGUGUGUGUUAGUGGAAGCGUCUGGAAAGGCGCGCGAUACAGGGUGACAGCCCCGUACACAAAAAUGCACAUAUUGUGAGCUCGAUGAGUAGGGCGGGACACGUGGUAUCCUGUCUGAAUAUGGGGGGACCAUCCUCCAAGGCUAAAUACUCCUGACUGACCGAUAGUGAACCAGUACCGUGAGGGAAAGGCGAAAAGAACCCCGGCGAGGGGAGUGAAAAAGAACCUGAAACCGUGUACGUACAAGCAGUGGGAGCCUCUUAAUGGGGUGACUGCGUACCUUUUGUAUAAUGGGUCAGCGACUUAUAUUCUGUAGCAAGGUUAACCGAAUAGGGGAGCCGAAGGGAAACCGAGUCUUAACUGGGCGUUAAGUUGCAGGGUAUAGACCCGAAACCCGGUGAUCUAGCCAUGGGCAGGUUGAAGGUUGGGUAACACUAACUGGAGGACCGAACCGACUAAUGUUGAAAAAUUAGCGGAUGACUUGUGGCUGGGGGUGAAAGGCCAAUCAAACCGGGAGAUAGCUGGUUCUCCCCGAAAGCUAUUUAGGUAGCGCCUCGUGAAUUCAUCUCCGGGGGUAGAGCACUGUUUCGGCAAGGGGGUCAUCCCGACUUACCAACCCGAUGCAAACUGCGAAUACCGGAGAAUGUUAUCACGGGAGACACACGGCGGGUGCUAACGUCCGUCGUGAAGAGGGAAACAACCCAGACCGCCAGCUAAGGUCCCAAAGUCAUGGUUAAGUGGGAAACGAUGUGGGAAGGCCCAGACAGCCAGGAUGUUGGCUUAGAAGCAGCCAUCAUUUAAAGAAAGCGUAAUAGCUCACUGGUCGAGUCGGCCUGCGCGGAAGAUGUAACGGGGCUAAACCAUGCACCGAAGCUGCGGCAGCGACACUAUGUGUUGUUGGGUAGGGGAGCGUUCUGUAAGCCUGUGAAGGUGGCCUGUGAGGGUUGCUGGAGGUAUCAGAAGUGCGAAUGCUGACAUAAGUAACGAUAAAGCGGGUGAAAAGCCCGCUCGCCGGAAGACCAAGGGUUCCUGUCCAACGUUAAUCGGGGCAGGGUGAGUCGACCCCUAAGGCGAGGCCGAAAGGCGUAGUCGAUGGGAAACAGGUUAAUAUUCCUGUACUUGGUGUUACUGCGAAGGGGGGACGGAGAAGGCUAUGUUGGCCGGGCGACGGUUGUCCCGGUUUAAGCGUGUAGGCUGGUUUUCCAGGCAAAUCCGGAAAAUCAAGGCUGAGGCGUGAUGACGAGGCACUACGGUGCUGAAGCGACAAAUGCCCUGCUUCCAGGAAAAGCCUCUAAGCAUCAGGUAACAUCAAAUCGUACCCCAAACCGACACAGGUGGUCAGGUAGAGAAUACCAAGGCGCUUGAGAGAACUCGGGUGAAGGAACUAGGCAAAAUGGUGCCGUAACUUCGGGAGAAGGCACGCUGAUAUGUAGGUGAAGCGACUUGCUCGUGGAGCUGAAAUCAGUCGAAGAUACCAGCUGGCUGCAACUGUUUAUUAAAAACACAGCACUGUGCAAACACGAAAGUGGACGUAUACGGUGUGACGCCUGCCCGGUGCCGGAAGGUUAAUUGAUGGGGUUAGCGGUAACGCGAAGCUCUUGAUCGAAGCCCCGGUAAACGGCGGCCGUAACUAUAACGGUCCUAAGGUAGCGAAAUUCCUUGUCGGGUAAGUUCCGACCUGCACGAAUGGCGUAAUGAUGGCCAGGCUGUCUCCACCCGAGACUCAGUGAAAUUGAACUCGCUGUGAAGAUGCAGUGUACCCGCGGCAAGACGGAAAGACCCCGUGAACCUUUACUAUAGCUUGACACUGAACAUUGAGCCUUGAUGUGUAGGAUAGGUGGGAGGCUUUGAAGUGUGGACGCCAGUCUGCAUGGAGCCGACCUUGAAAUACCACCCUUUAAUGUUUGAUGUUCUAACGUGGGCCCCUUACCGGGGUUGCGGACAGUGUCUGGUGGGUAGUUUGACUGGGGCGGUCUCCUCCUAAAGAGUAACGGAGGAGCACGAAGGUUGGCUAAUCCUGGUCGGACAUCAGGAGGUUAGUGCAAUGGCAUAAGCCAGCUUGACUGCGAGCGUGACGGCGCGAGCAGGUGCGAAAGCAGGUCAUAGUGAUCCGGUGGUUCUGAAUGGAAGGGCCAUCGCUCAACGGAUAAAAGGUACUCCGGGGAUAACAGGCUGAUACCGCCCAAGAGUUCAUAUCGACGGCGGUGUUUGGCACCUCGAUGUCGGCUCAUCACAUCCUGGGGCUGAAGUAGGUCCCAAGGGUAUGGCUGUUCGCCAUUUAAAGUGGUACGCGAGCUGGGUUUAGAACGUCGUGAGACAGUUCGGUCCCUAUCUGCCGUGGGCGCUGGAGAACUGAGGGGGGCUGCUCCUAGUACGAGAGGACCGGAGUGGACGCAUCACUGGUGUUCGGGUUGUCAUGCCAAUGGCACUGCCCGGUAGCUAAAUGCGGAAGAGAUAAGUGCUGAAAGCAUCUAAGCACGAAACUUGCCCCGAGAUGAGUUCUCCCUGACUCCUUGAGAGUCCUGAAGGAACGUUGAAGACGACGACGUUGAUAGGCCGGGUGUGUAAGCGCAGCGAUGCGUUGAGCUAACCGGUACUAAUGAACCGUGAGGCUUAACCUUACAACGCCGAAG
Molecule: ribosomal RNA, 2650 nt
Filed under: Escherichia coli O25b:H4-ST131
Lineage: Bacteria; Pseudomonadati; Pseudomonadota; Gammaproteobacteria; Enterobacterales; Enterobacteriaceae
Description: partial 23S ribosomal RNA
Rfam family: Bacterial large subunit ribosomal RNA
Source: RNAcentral